This is a non-coding RNA of Styela clava, 163 nucleotides long. The record is from RefSeq and is a predicted model, not a curated record. Lineage: Eukaryota; Metazoa; Chordata; Ascidiacea; Stolidobranchia; Styelidae.
CUGACCACAGGACGAGGCAGUUAAUCGCGAUUAUGGAGGCGGUUCCGCCUAGGCGAGGUUUGGUCAUUGCACCCAGACUAAACUGACCCUAGCGAUUAUAACAAAUGCGGAUAACUCGGUCGUAUAAUUUCUGCUUGUAGGGACUGCAUUCGCGCUAUCCUUU